Molecule: ribosomal RNA, 406 nt
Filed under: uncultured prokaryote
Description: bacterial SSU rRNA
Rfam family: Bacterial small subunit ribosomal RNA
Source: RNAcentral
UGGGGAAUAUUGGGCAAUGGGGGGAACCCUGACCCAGCAACGCCGCGUGAAGGAAGAAGGUUUUCGGAUUGUAAACUUCUGUCCUUGGUGAAGAGGAAGAGACGGUAGCCAAGGAGGAAGCCCCGGCUAACUACGUGCCAGCAGCCGCGGUAAGACGUAGGGGGCGAGCGUUGUCCGGAAUUACUGGGCGUAAAGAGCACGUAGGCGGGAUUUUAAGUCAGGUGUGAAAGACCGUGGCUCAACCACGGGGUUGCACUUGAAACUGGGAUUCUUGAGGGCAGGAGAGGAAAGUGGAAUUCCUGGUGUAGCGGUGAAAUGCGUAGAAAUCAGGAGGAACACCGGUGGCGAAGGCGACUUUCUGGACUGACCCUGACGCUGAGGUGCGAAAGCGUGGGUAGCAAACAGG